CGUGAGAUGUGGGUUAAGUCCGCAACGAGCGCAACCCUGCUGCCAGUUGCAACGGGUAGAGCCGGGCGACUCUGGCGGGACUGCCAUCGACAAGAUGGAGGAAGGUGGGGGAUGACGUCAAGUCAUCAUGGCCCUUAUGUCCAGGGCGACACACGUGCUACAAUGGCCGGCACAGCGGGAAGCGAGGCAGUGAUGCCGAGCGGAUCCCUUAAAGCCGGUCUCAGUUCGGAUUGAAGUCUGCAACUCGACUUCAUGAAGCUGGAAUCGCUAGUAAUCGCAGAUCAGCCAAGCUGCGGUGAAUACGUUCCCGGGCCUU
Molecule: ribosomal RNA, 316 nt
Filed under: uncultured Synergistaceae bacterium
Lineage: Bacteria; Thermotogati; Synergistota; Synergistia; Synergistales; Synergistaceae
Description: bacterial SSU rRNA
Rfam family: Bacterial small subunit ribosomal RNA
Source: RNAcentral